ACAACUUCUCAAAGCUGAAUUUGAUCAUCUCUAUACCAAUGUAAAUGUAUGCAAUCAUAUCGAAGAAUAGGCCUUCAAAGGCCAUUGAUACUGGAAGUAGUUGACUGCACAAAGUGAUGAACUGCCAACAAUAUAAGCUAAUUUUACACCAGUUCUCUUUAACAUCGCAUAUUGGAUAAGUGUGAAACAAAACGUGAGGAUCGGAAAUGGAAAAAGUCUCUGUAAACAACCGCCUUUCUCUCAACUUCAGGACCUAACACAUCGAGCUUCCAGAGGGCUUCAAUUUUGCUCAACACCACAUUCAAAUGGUCUCUGUUCCAGACCAUGCACAACAUCUUUGCAAAUCCCUGAAAAAAGAUGAAAAAACAACAGCUUUACCAUAGUGAGAAUAUUUUCCCAAUUUAAGACCAAUUCCAUACCCAUGACGAUAUUAAGGCAGGUGACAUUAAGCACCGUGAAGAAUUUUCGUAUUUUACUGAAGGUGUUAAUUUUUCUUGGAUGUAUUCCUGUUAAGUACAUCGCCAUCAACGUCAUCUCCAAUGAACGGUUAAAAGUUGCUUCAGGCAUGUCUAGAUUCGAAAUGGAGAAGAAUCGAAGAUUUAUUGGCAUUUAAGUGAAUUGCUUCAAUUUCAUUGAAACUAGGCACAAUCAUUACAACUUUUCAAUUGCUCAAUUAGGAACUGCAAUUUGCUAUUCAAGCUUACCUCAAGAUUAAGUUAUGUUGAUCGACGAUCAUUCGAAUAUUAGCUUUGACUACAGGAUCGUUCUUUACCGAAACGAGCAACAACUUGUCAAAGCUGAAAUUGAUCAUCUCCAUACCAAUGUAAACGUAUGCAGUCAUAUCGAGGAAUCGGGCUUCAAAGGCUAUUGAUACUGAAAGUAGUUGACAGCACAAAGUGAUGAACUACCAGCAAUACAAGCUUAUUUUACACCAGUUCUCUUUAAAAUCGCAUAUAGGAUUUAUGUACAACAAAACUUUA
Molecule: long non-coding RNA, 980 nt
Organism: Nicrophorus vespilloides
Lineage: Eukaryota; Metazoa; Arthropoda; Insecta; Coleoptera; Silphidae
Exons: 4
Source: RefSeq, a predicted model, not a curated record